UUUGAUCCUGGCUCAGGACGAACGCUUGCGGCGUGCCUAAUGUAUGCAAGUCGAGCGAGGGAGAGAGCUUCGGCUCUCUUUCCUAGCGGCGAACGGUUGAGUAACACGUAGGCAACCUGCCCCGAAGUGGGGGAUAACUCCGCGAAAGCGGGGCUAAUACCGCAUGUGGAAGACGAGCGCCUGCUCUUCUCUCCAAAGCAGCAAUGCGCUUCGGGAUGGGCCUGCGGCCUAUCAGCUUGUUGGUGGGGUCACGGCCUACCAAGGCGACGACGGGUAGCUGGUCUGAGAGGAUGGUCAGCCAGACAGGGACUGAGACACGGCCCUGACUCCUUUGGGGGGCAGCAAUGAGGGAUAUUGCGCAAUGGGGGCAACCCUGACGCAGCGACGCCGCGUGGGUGAGGAAGUCCUUCGGGAUGUAAAGCCCUUUUGACGGGGACGAGAACGGACGGUACCCGUCGAAUAAGCCCCGGCUAACUACGUGCCAGCAGCCGCGGUAAUACGUAGGG
RNAcentral lists this ribosomal RNA (506 nucleotides) under uncultured bacterium. Its description in RNAcentral is "bacterial SSU rRNA". It matches the Rfam family "Bacterial small subunit ribosomal RNA", at positions 12 to 532 of the family's 1533-position model. The record is from RNAcentral.